Molecule: ribosomal RNA, 403 nt
Filed under: uncultured bacterium
Lineage: Bacteria
Description: bacterial SSU rRNA
Rfam family: Bacterial small subunit ribosomal RNA
Source: RNAcentral
CUAGGAAUCUUGGGAAUGGGCGAAAGCCUGACCCAGCAACGCCGCGUGGGCGAUGAAGGCCUUAGGGUCGUAAAGCCCUUUUGUGGGGGAAGAUGAUGACGGUACCCCACGAAUAAGCCACGGCUAACUACGUGCCAGCAGCCGCGGUAAUACGUAGGUGGCGAGCGUUGUCCGGAUUUAUUGGGCGUAAAGCGCGUGCAGGCGGUUCGUUAAGUUCAGGGUGAAAGCUCCCGGCUCAACUGGGAGAGGUCCUUGGAUACUGGCGGACUUGAGGGAGGUAGAGGAGAGUGGAAUUCUCGGUGUAGUGGUGAUAUGCGUAGAUAUCGAGAGGAACACCAGUGGCGAAGGCGGCUCUCUGGGCCUUUCCUGACGCUGAGACGCGAAAGCGUGGGGAGCGAACCGG